UACGAAGGGGGCUAGCGUUGCUCGGAAUCACUGGGCGUAAAGGGCGCGUAGGCGGCAAAUCAAGUCAGCUGUGAAAUCUCCGAGCUUAACUCGGAACGGUCAGCUGAUACUGUUUUGCUAGAGUACAGAAGGGGCAAUCGGAAUUCUUGGUGUAGCGGUGAAAUGCGUAGAUAUCAAGAGGAACACCUGAGGUGAAGACGGGUUGCUGGGCUGAUACUGACGCUGAGGCGCGAAAGCUAGGGUAGCAAACGGG
RNAcentral lists this ribosomal RNA (253 nucleotides) under uncultured bacterium. RNAcentral describes it as "partial 16S ribosomal RNA". It matches the Rfam family "Bacterial small subunit ribosomal RNA", at positions 524 to 776 of the family's 1533-position model. The record is from RNAcentral.